UGCACUGAAAACUGUAUGACCAACAAACCAGGGUCACAUUGUUAGAUACGUUGCAUGACUCUGGGGGCAAAUGCUUGACAAACAUUAUGAUGAGCUGGUUUGGCCUUGUUGCUUGAAAACAACAGGGAUCCUAUUUUGAAAUAGACCUUCAAGUUCGCUGUAAAACUUUUACGGAGGGCAAUGAAGUGGGGCGAGCUCUCCCUAUGCCUGCGUGGCCAUCUGUGUGGUUACAUAUUUGGUUAAAUAAUUAUAGUCAAACAGAGGUUUUUGAAUAUUGUGUGGAACAAACUGUUGUAUUUUACAAUUUGGUGCAUUGAAUCUUGUGGUUUUAAGAUGUGGACAGAUGAUAUUUAUUCAGCCAGAUUGGUUUAUACACCCAAAACCAAAUCUGGUGAUACUUAGUUGACCCAAUACUAUGGUAUUCAAUAAUGCUCAUUAAUUUGGCAAAUUCAAAUGAGGUCACAAAACUAGCAACCGGAAGAAACCCACACAUGCACGGGGAGAACAUGCAAACUCUGCAAAGUGAUGCCUGAGGGUGGAAUCGAACUCGGGUUUCCGAGCUGUGUGGACACCAACUUGUCAGCAAUAUUUUAUUAUUACUUAAACAUGUAUUAUAUACCAUGACUUUCCACAAACUGUGUAAUGUCUCUAAUGUACAUGAGACAUGAUUAUUCUUGCUAAUCGCACGAUAAAAUAUACAGGAAUGCCAUUAGGGAAAUGCUGCAAGGGAAAAGUAAUCCCUUCUGCCUGAAGGGGUGGGGACGUAAAUGAGCUGGAAGGUGCUUGUCACUCCCGUCUUUCCACGGAAAAGAAAAGCAGCAAGUAAAAUGCAAGCACCCUUGUAUAACACCUUUUAUGGCUUUGACGUGGAAUCAUUCUUGCAUCAUCCUUGAUGCCAUCCCUAAAAGACCCACCGAGAGGAGAUGUUAACAACUUUUAAUGUGUUAGCUGCUCAGCCGUCCUUGCCCUAUCCUCCAAGGACCCCCCCAUUCAUGGACUGUGACGAUCAAUAAACUCUCUUCUGAGGAAGAAAUCUUCACUCUAAGGUACAUUUUGAGUUCAGCCCACAACCCCGAAAUUUGACACACAUGAAUUAAUGACUUUGACUGCCAUGAUGGAGGACUAUAUCUUCAAGCACACCAGAAGUUGAUCAGACCUUUACAACAAAGUAACAGCUUUUGCUAGAGUAGGAUAGGGUGCUUCAUAUACAAAUAAAAGGAAAUAAAACUAAAAAUAAAACUAGCAACCUGAAAACUAAAUGUUAAACCAAAGUAAAUUAUUCUCCACCUCAUGAGGCGGGGGUUCAGCUUGUCUGUGUGGUUUAGGGUGUACCCUGCCUCUAACAGAAAGUAAGCUGAGCUGGGAUCCAGUACAUCCAUGGCUUUAAUGAGGGCAAGCAAUAGAGGAAAUGAAUAAAUACAUGCACAAGCUGUCAAACCCAUGUAUUCUGUUCUGUUUGAAUUCCUGGGACUCCUGGGUCGCAAAUUCAUAAUGAAGAAACCAUGACUGAAAAUUGCACAAUAUAAAGUUAUGUGCAAAUAUAUAUAUAUUUUUUUUUUACUCAUGAUGAGCAAUGACCAAUAAAUAUAGAGCCAAACAAAACUAGCUAAAAUAUAACAAACGCAAAAGCACAGUGGAAAGAACUUACUCGAACACAGAAACAGAAAAUAUUAAUUGGCCAAAAGGGCCGGCUGGGACAGAGCAAUAAAGCAUGGUAAGAAGUUGUGCAGAAAACUGGGGGUAAGAGCCACCAUACUUAAACACCUCACUUACCAUUGAUUACCAUUGAUAUGUUGCUCUGGCUGUCAUUGAAAGCCAUGCCAUCUUUGGAGGAAACAUGGCAAAAUCAAAGACAGGAACAGAAAAACACACUAUGUAACAAUAUCUUAUUGGGAACUUACAUUAUCACCGCAGAAUAUGGUCAUAAUUAACUAGCCAUUUAUCAAAAGCCACAACAAUUAUGCCACAACAAACAAAAAACAAUUUUACCAGAAAAUAACCAUUUUUUUUUACAUUGGGUAUUUACGAUGAACUAUUAGAGCUUCUCAUCAGAUGCAUUAUUCUACUGUCACAGUGUACAUUGGGGCCAAUUUUCCAGUGAGUUUGUUCAACCUGCUAUAGUUUAACUGGUCAUAACAGUGAUUAACAUCUGUUUCAUGCCUAUCUCACCAUUAUGCGUUCAAACUAGCUUUUUCACGAUUCCUCAUCUAAUGUUAUUUCAGUCCCAUGACCUGCACCACUGUUGAACCACUUUGCUGUAUUACCAUAUUUACUCUAUUAGGUUAAUCUGCUUCAGCCUUUACAUCAGAUCUCUAGACUCCACUUCAGAAUGUACACUUUGUCAGCAUGUGUAAUCACAUUUACCCCUCAUAUUUUAUGUAGCUACUUAAAUGAGAUUUAUUUUCUGUACAGAGAGUACAGAAAAUUCAUUCAUUUUCUACUGCUUUUUCCCCACGAGGGUCGCGGGGGGUGCUGGAGCCUAUCCCAGCUGUCUUCAGGUGAGAGGCGGGGUACACCCUGGACUGGUCGCCAGCCAAUCACAGGGCACAUAUAGACUAACAACCAUUCACACUCACAUUCAUACCUAUGGACAAUUUGGAGUGGCCAAUUAACCUAGCAUGUUUUUGGAAUGUGGGAGGAAACCGGAGUACCCGGAGAAAACCCACGCAUGCACGCGGAGAACAUGCAAACUCCACACAGAGAUGCCCGAGGGACCCUGGUCUCCUAGCUGUGAGGUCUGUGCGCUAACCACUAGACCGCCGUGCCGCCCGUACAGAACAUUGUGGAAAUUGAUUUACUAUACUUUUCUUUCUGUGUGUUAUACAUUCAAACUAUUCAGCAAUCAAACAUCUGAAACAUAUAUGUCAUGUUAUACAGUAAGCAAUUUGUUAACAGUAAUUUCCGACACUGUGGGUGAUUUUUUUUAGGUUUCAGUGGAAGCGUGUGGUAUUCCUA
Doryrhamphus excisus (bluestripe pipefish) is the source of this 2955-nucleotide long non-coding RNA. RefSeq lists it as uncharacterized. NCBI's taxonomy places the organism in Eukaryota, Metazoa, Chordata, Actinopteri, Syngnathiformes, Syngnathidae. The record is from RefSeq and is a predicted model, not a curated record.